This 408-nucleotide ribosomal RNA is filed under the name uncultured bacterium. Its description in RNAcentral is "partial 16S ribosomal RNA". It matches the Rfam family "Bacterial small subunit ribosomal RNA", at positions 28 to 526 of the family's 1533-position model. The record is from RNAcentral.
GACGAACGCUGGCGGCGUGCUUAACACAUGCAAGUCGAACGAAGUGGCGAACGGGUGAGUAAUACGUGGGUAACCUGCCCUCCUUUUUGGGAUAAGCCUUGGAAACGGGGUCUAAUACCGAAUAUAGGGGGAUGGGCUCGCGGCCUAUCAGCUUGUUGGUGGGGUGAUGGCCUACCAAGGCGGUGACGGGUAGCCGGCCUGAGAGGGUGACCGGACACGUUAGGAGGGAUAUACGGCCCAGACUCGUACGGGAGGCAGCAGUGGGGGAUGUUGCGCAAUGGACGAGAGCCUGAUGCAGCGACGCGGCGUGGGGGAUGAAGGCGUUCGGGUUGUAAACCUCUGACGCAAUCGAACGGGUAGUUGGAGAAGAAGCGCCGGCUAACUACGUGCCAGCAGCCGCGGUAAUAC